This 1212-nucleotide long non-coding RNA is filed under the name Calidris pugnax (ruff). RNAcentral's name for it is "lncRNA (ENSCPUG00000005273.1)". The record is from RNAcentral. Lineage: Eukaryota; Metazoa; Chordata; Aves; Charadriiformes; Scolopacidae.
GGAGCAGGAUCCCCCGUCAGAGCCUGGCCCCACACCGUCCCCUCUGCGAGGGGAAGCAGGGGGACCACGCCAGGAAGAACCCCAUCCCAGACCCGCACUCACCUUCCCUUGAGUCCUUCCAGCUCCUGGGAUCACAGCUCCCUUGGGGGGACAGGCCCGUCCCAGCAGCCACAUUGUGAGGAGGAGGAGGAAGAGGAGGGAGGAGGCAGUGAUGGAUCAGGCGAUGCCGAAGGGCACCGGCUCCUCGGCCGCGGUGGGAGCUCGACGGGGAAGCAGUGAUCCCUGCGGCAUCCGCACGGCAGCCCACGCACGGCACUGCCGGCCGGGGAUGGGGCCGGCUUCGGCUCGGUGUGUCUGAGCUCACCGGGGACCACAGGCUUUCUACCCAGAAACAGGAAGGGCUCACGGGCCCCAGCCAACCCAGAGGAGCCGAGGGGAAACACGACGGUGCGGGGCGUAAAAGCGAGCCCUGCGAAAGUGCUGGCAAGAGGUAUCAGGCUACAUCACCUGCAGUCCCAAAGGACCCUGGAUUGGGCUCAGCCCGAUGUGGUAUCACACCAGCAGAGGACUCACCUGACCACCCCUGCAGAGCUGUACCUGAGCCCAGACAUGGCACAGUCACAGCCUCACCACAGAGAGAGAUGAGGGACCCUCAGAAGCACUGCCAACACCCUGCCAGCAAACACCCAUGAGCCCGACCCGUCUGACUGGGACCUGAGCUGAGUCCCAGGAGCCCACCUGGGCCAUGUCCCAUCCCGCAGCAGCCCAUCUCUCACAGCCUGUUCCAUUCACCUGACUUAUGACAAAUCCCAGCCAGGCAGACUUCCCAGCAGGCAUGUAGAACAUCAAUGGGAUUGCCUCCCCAUCCUGGAGCACCCACCGGAGGAACAGUCCAGCUCUGCAGGAAAGCACAUCCCUGUCCCAAGAAAAACAUACUUCCCUUUGGCUCCGAUCCACAGAAGGAAUCAUAGAAUCAUAGAAUUGUCCAGGUUGGAAGGGACCUUUCAGAUCAUUGAGUUCAACCAUCAACCCAACACUGACAAAACCAUUACUAACCCAUGUCCCUCAUCACCACAUUUGCCCAGCUUUUAAAUACCUCCAGUGAUGGUGAACACCACCACUUCCCUGGGCAUCCACUUCCAAUGCUUGGUAACGCUUUUGUGUAGGAAUUUUUCCCAAUCUCCAUCCUAAACCACCCCUGACACAACUUGA